AAAAUAAAGGGUUAAUUUUAUAUAGUUUUGCUGUAAAUAUAAUAAAUAAUAAAUAUAUUUUUAUAAAAUUUAAUUUUUGUAUAUUGUUUGUUUUUAAAUAUGUCCCUCUGAUUUGUUACCGUUAGAUAGCCGUUAAAAAACUGUUUAUAUUUUCAAUUUUGCUAUCACAAAUAUAUUCCUUAAAAAAUCAUAACAGUAUAAUAUAAAGAAGUAAAAUGUCAAAAACUAACCAACAUUAAGUAUUUAACUUAUAGUUAAUUAAAUUUUUCUAACAGAUUCUAACGGUAGGGAUAUAUAUUUGAAAACAUCAGAAUUUUUAUAGAAACAACAUAUGAAAGUUGAACUCUAUAGAAAUAUAUUUAUCAUUCGCUACUUUUGCAGAGACCUAUAUGAAAUUAAUCCUAAAAUAAAUAUUGGUGCCCAGGACUCUUUCAAGAUAACAAAUUUAACAUCCAAAAUCCCAAAAAACAACCGACUUUAAUGAACUAGACCAGAAUACCACUAAAAUCACCUAGUUAUUAGUGCUAUUAGGUUUUCGACUCUUUAAUGAAGAGAUGUGCGGUCAAAAUGAUAAUGCUUCUCGAGUUGAAUGGGUGGUUGGUGGAAUGAUCUAAGAGGUAGAAAUAAUAAAAAAUAUAGAUCUAACAAUGAAAAAUUUAGUAGCACUAAGGGACCGUUCGAUUGGAUGUAGUUGUAAAUACAGUGUAGUUAAAAAUACAUACAGUUGAAAAUGAAGCAGUUGUAAUUACAUAUAAUUUGUUUGGUUUUGUGUAGAUGCAAUUAUUGCAAUUGCAUUUUUUCUAUUUGAUAAUUUGAAGCUGAUAGUUGUAUUUGUGAAUCUUAUCAUCUCUUUAGAUAGAGUGGUGAGGUUAUCUUCACUAUACAUAAAAUAAUUGUAUAACUUUAUUAAUUAUUUAAAUUUACUAUCUAUAAAUAAAUAAGUGGAUAUAUAUAAUAUUUUUAUAUUUUUCAAUAAUCCUUCAACUUAUCAAUCGACAUAUUUAAAAUUUUAAUUUAUUUAAUUUUAAUAUGUAAAUCAAACUUUAAAAAUUUAAACGAUUCUCUCAUUUUUUUAUCAAAUUUAAUAAUUAUAAUUAAUUAAAACUUAUUAAGUUCACAUACAUAAUCAUAUUCUAUCAAAAUUUAGAAAAAAAUUCUUUUUUAUAUUUUGAAUAAAUUUAAAAAAAUUUAAUUUUUUGCACAGAACUUGUAUUGCCUAAAAAAUAUUAUUAGUAUGAGUUUAUUUACAAGUAUUUUUAUUUAUCUAUAUAUAUAUUAUUUAUUUAUUUAUUUAUUAUUGUUAAUUUGUGGGUGAUCCUGUUCCUCACUAACUGCUGCAGUUGGAACUGCAACCAAUUUGGAUGUAGUUCCAACUACAGCAUUUGUACUUUCUUGUGCAGUUGCAACAGUUGCAACUGCAGUAGUGGUACUCUCAGCUGUAUUAAACCAAACACAAAAAUUGAGGUUGCGUGUAUUUGUAACUGCAAUAUAAUUAUAAAUGCGUGCAAUCAAAUAGCCCCUAAGUAUUUAGUGCUAUUGAUAGUAUUAUAGUCAGACUCUAGUUUAACUCUAUUCUUUAA
RNAcentral lists this long non-coding RNA (1580 nucleotides) under Ananas comosus (pineapple). Its description in RNAcentral is "long non-coding RNA (ACOM_LNC018281)". The record is from RNAcentral. Lineage: Eukaryota; Viridiplantae; Streptophyta; Magnoliopsida; Poales; Bromeliaceae.